This 286-nucleotide ribosomal RNA is filed under the name Candidatus Bathyarchaeota archaeon. Its description in RNAcentral is "partial 16S ribosomal RNA". It matches the Rfam family "Archaeal small subunit ribosomal RNA", at positions 1 to 255 of the family's 1478-position model. Lineage: Archaea; Thermoproteati; Candidatus Bathyarchaeota. The record is from RNAcentral.
AGCAACUCCGGUUGAUCCUGCCGGACCCCACUGCUAUCGGGAUGGGACUAAGACAUGCUAGUCGCGCGUCUCCAGGCCAAGGUGGAGACGCGGCGCACAGCUCCGUAACACGUGGCUAACCUGCCCUUGGGACGGGGAUAACCCCGGGAAACUGGGGCUAAUCCCCGAUAGGUGAGGACUCCUGGAAUGGGUCCUCGCCGAAAGGGCGCCUAGACCAUGCCUCUAGGCGUCGCCCAAGGAUGGGGCCGCGGCCGAUCAGGUAGUUGGUGAGGUAACGGCUCACCAA